GCGUCAUCUUGAUUAUUAGACAAAUUCAAUCCUAUAACUCAGGUCAUGUUGGUAUGCUACUAAGAGAUAAAGCUGGAAGAUUUCUGAGAGGAAGAAAUCAUGCGGUUCAAAAGAACAGCCUCAAUGUUUGAAGCAUAAACAAUUGGGACAGAUGAGGAAGCUAUAUUCUGAGUAAUUCGGUCAACAGGAUAGCAUUCUGCAGGCAGCUGCACAAGUAGGUUUCGGUCGCACGAGGUCCUCAUUCUGAUCAAGGGUUUAGAGGGAAAGAGGUGCAGACGAAGGGCAAAAAUACUUUUGCACCUCCACGGAAUGUCAGGUCACUUGGUUAUACUAGCAACAUCAACACAAAACCUGAUGUGGUCGGGGAAGUUGCAGAUGAGCAGCCGAAUUCUAAU
Long non-coding RNA from Daucus carota subsp. sativus, 395 nucleotides. RefSeq lists it as uncharacterized. The transcript has 3 exons. The record is from RefSeq and is a predicted model, not a curated record. Lineage: Eukaryota; Viridiplantae; Streptophyta; Magnoliopsida; Apiales; Apiaceae.